RNAcentral lists this long non-coding RNA (10528 nucleotides) under Lynx pardinus (Iberian lynx). The record is from RNAcentral. Lineage: Eukaryota; Metazoa; Chordata; Mammalia; Carnivora; Felidae.
CUAUUUGGGAUUCUCUCUCUCUCCCUCUCUCGCUGCCCUUCCUCUGCUCUCUCUCUCCCUCUCUCUCUCUCUCAAGUAAAUAACUAAACAUUUAAAAAGCAAGAAAUUCAUGACAGCAGAAUUGAAGGCAGUAUGGGUCACUGCCUACCACUCGCAUGGGUUGUAACUUUCACAGUUGAAGGAUAGAAAUCAGUGAACAGGGAUGGACACCUUGGGAGCAGGUCCUCGCUGGGACAGAAAGAGCUGAAAUCCAUCUUCCUUUCUCGUCUUUCCUUCCCUGUGUUUUUCCUCUUCCCUUCCUUCCCUCUCUUCCUUCCAAAGAGUUCUUGUUUAUAUCCCUCUCAAGAUCUGAAGACUGUUUGCCUUUAGUUCUUGUGAAAAUCAUAAGGAGCCUGGAAUAUAAGCAUAUUUAUAAAUAUUGAGAAUGAUUGUGGCUAUUACAUUAUAUUCCUAAUUAGGUGCAUUUUUUAUUAUUUUUUUAAAUCACGUAUACUUUUUUUUUUUUUAAGCGGGGCCCUGUCCUGCUUACUCUGCCUAUGUCUUCUCCCUGAGAAAACAAGUUCAGCCCAAACUUCCGUGUAAAGCUCAGAUGGAAUUCCUAAAAAACUGAGAAGAAACUGGAGGUAAGGGGUCUGCAGGGGGCAGGGCAGCACAUCCUGUAAUGUCCCUCCGACAGGGACAGAACCCAGAAGCCCAGAAAGGUCUGCAUGGGAAGUUGAAAUUUGAAAAAGCAGAACAAAAACAGAAAUCCAAUGUGAUUUGAUCACAUUGUGUUUCAGGAUGCCUAUGCAAAGAAAGCCAGGUGUAUGUGCAAGAGAAACUAUAGGGAACUCCUUUUGUGUCCUCGGGACCAAAGUCUGCUGGCCGAGGAAGGAGCUUUUCUUUCGGUUCAGUGCCAUGCACUGGUGGAGUUUUUCUCCAGGUUCCUUGGCUUCUAAGGCCACUUGCACAAUAAAAAAAUAUAUAUGUAUUUAUCUAGAAAAAUAUUCUCUGGCUCCUUUCUGCUACAUAGAGGGCAAUAUAGAGUGAAUAACAGCUACUUUGGCCCUUUUUGAGCAAACGGAGUAAGAAUUUCAGCUUUUAUUUUUGUUCCUCUUAAACCCAAUGAAAAGGUGCUCUGCCUUUCAGGAGCCAUUUUUACAAUUCAUUGGCAGUGCUGGGUGAAUUAAAGCCGGUCCUGUGCCUACACGUUUUAGGUGAGGUUGGGGGUCUGUCAUGAUAAAAUCACUUUAAAUUGACCUUUUUCCUUCUUUUUUUUCUCUCUUCAGGUCCAGCUUGCAUAGCAAUGUAGCCAGACCUCAGCCUCAUCACAUUAUGGGUAAAUGGUUUGGUUGUGGCACAGGAUCGUUUUGACUUCAGAAAAGCAGUAGUCAGUGUGUAGAAGGGGGGAGGAGCUCUUUAUUGAGAAGAUCAAAAGGGACUUAAAGGCAAAAACUGACUUUCACUGCAACAGGACUGAGGACCAGGCCUCCAGUGUCCUUAUUGUAAUUCAUUGCUUGUUUCUAGGCCCCAUGAUAGAAUUCUUCCAUAACAGACAGAGGACUUUGUGAAAUUGUAAAUGAGUAUGACUUCAAGCACUCUGUGGAAAUAUAUUCUCCCCCUAUAGCCCAUACAUUAUUUCUGCUUAGUUAUGGUGGCUCACAUUUCCCGUAACUAUCAGAGAGAACUUAAUUCAACUCACACCACAUCACUUUAAAAUUGUGCAGCUCUCUUAAUCAACCUUUGUAUCAGCCACAAAUGUGCAGUAUGACCUAAUUUGAAAAUGUCUCAAAGUGCUGACUCAAACUGUUAGUGAAUAAAGGCUAGUCAUUACCAUUAUGACACUAAUGUGAUGCAAUAUAAAAUUGAGGGGCAUCAGCUGAACAUUAGUUUGCAAAAAUAUUAGUGAUUGAAGCCAUUUUCUGUUCAUAUUUUAUUUAUACUUACAUGUAUGUAUAUAUACAUACAUAUGCAUAUAUUUAUUUUUUGUUUUUCUGAAGCAGCCUUGCAACACAAUUUUCAAGUAUAGAGGAAGGAAGCCACGUUUUUAACACGGACAAAGCCGCUAGAUUAAAGGUAGAUCAUGUGUACAUCAUGAGCUCCCCUCUAUAAGAUGAAGACAGAUCAUUGCUGAAUUCUUAUUUGAAUAUUUAUAUACAUAUAAGCAUUAACAUAUGAAAAUUAUCUUCUUCCCUGUACUUUGGAGCCAGAUUCUAAGAUUUCCAACAGCUCUGGUCCUACUUAUUCCUUACUACUUUGUAUCACUCACAAAUUCUCUGACUUUUAUGUUUUGUAAUAACAAGGACUCGAAUUGGUUCCUUUUAUGGACUCUCUUUCCCAUUCCUUUACUUGACCAAAAAAAAUUGAGAUAGAAAUACUCUUAAUAAAUAUUGUCAUUAAUUACUUUUGAACAAAAUAAAGUAGGAUACAGGGCUGGAAAUUAUUUAGCCUCACCCCUCUUGAUAAUACUUUAAGGAAGGCAACCUAAACUAUCUCUUUUCUUCUACCGUUUAGCUGGUUUUAAAGAAAAGUCCAUGUGCUUAUUUAAUACUUAAACAUCCUAGAGCUAGUAUUGGUUUCAGUCUGUAAACUGAUCAUUAGUAGUUGAAAAGAAAUCAGCACGAAUCUUUCCUAAGUUAGAGAAAUUGUCCCAGCGAUCACUCAGAAGGUCCACUCUGCAUCCCAGUUUGGGUCUCUUGAAUUCUGAAAAAUCUGAGCAGAAAGUUAUGCGUUAGUGAUCAAGUACUCCUGAUUUUAUUCAUUUAACAGUGAGAAUAAGCCAACCACAUAAACACAAAGGAGAUAGGUUAUUCUUUAAAAUUUUCAAGGAUAAGGAGUUUUGGCUAUCAAGAAAUUAUUUAACCUGGUAGAGUGGCGAAACACACACUCUCUUCGUAAUAUAUCACUACCAGCAAUUGGUAGAAAAUACAACUAAAUUAGAAGGCUGACAAGCUUAGUUUAUCCACUUUUUAGAAAAACAGGUCAAGCCUUCAAGCAAGAUGUGUAGAAAUUCGCUACUAUGUGAUGACUUUAGUAUUUCAGUCCUUUUUACAUUAUGUAAUAUGUGGUUUGGGCUGUUUUUAUGACCUAUGUUUUAUUUCCACAUUAAGAUAAUCCAGAUUUUAAAAAAGUAAGUUUGAAAGAUCUCAAAGCAGACUUGCCAAAACCAGCAUUCAGAAGCGCGGGUGCUUCCAAGCACACACACACACACACACACACACACACACACGCAGGCACACUUUCAAUUUACCUAAAAAGGAGGAGCGCCUUUUUUUUUUUUUUAAACUAAAAUACAAUUGUUCUUACUUUUAGGUUCCAGGGGAAAAAGGGAUGUGGGUGUGAUCGCUGUAAAUGGAUUGCCAGCCUCUUAACAGUUCAUCAUUCUUAAAUGAUAGAAGUAGAGCAGUACCCUCUGAGAAAAAUCUUUCCUGUGGAUUUGACUUUGUCCACGCUAGGACAAAUUGCGUGCAAAGUUGGAAUAAUUCUGAGAUGUAAGACACCUCCAUGACUGUCCUUGGCAUACUGAGGAGCUGACAGUCCUCUCUGGAAGAUGAGGCGAGAAUGGCCCCUGCCCUCUUAAUUGAUGAUUUACUGUGCUCUCCCCUGGGGCCACAACUGAUGAUCUGUAAGCUUGUUGAAUUUUGAAGCAAAUACUAAAUAUAAUCAAUAUAUAAAAAUAAAAAAAAGAGAGAGAAAAAAUGCAAUGAAAAUUUAUGACCUUAACAUUCCUUCAGGGUCAAGCAAUUUAUCAAAUUCUCUCACUUUCUGGUUUCAAUUACACAGCCAUUGUGGAAGGAACUUAUUUUAGCAGGUUCAUUUGCCUCAGUGGGGAAUACAGGACUUUGGCCUAAUGCUUCACCUUUAGUGCAGGCCAUUUGAGCCUUAGAACAAAUACCAAUCAUCACUCUUUGGGAAAAAAGAAUCUGCAUCGGCGUGGCCUAUUGGAAUGGGGUUUCUGUCAAGGUAAACGGUUGUCGGCAAUGACUGUGGUAGAGUGGCGAUAAAUCCCAUUUUAUUGCUGAAAAAUUCCAGCUUCUCUCCAUGCCUGACAGCUCCCCACAUUCUCAUACCCAUUUGGGCAAUUUCUGUGCUAUGUCCAUCUGGUUCUCAUUACCUCUCAACCUGCCUGCGUCUGAUCCAGAAAAAGUGCAGGUCAGAAACAAGGGAAAAGAACUGAGGUGAUGGACAAAACAGAAAGCAGGGGGGUGGCCCUUGGGGGUCGGGGUGGAGGUGAGAGAACAACAGAGAAGUGGGGAUCCCAGCUUAGCCUUAGACCAGUUGCUGUAAGGGGCCAUUUAGAUACAUUACAGAAUGAUAAUGACGGAGUCCCAGUCAGGAGGCCAGAGGAACCUGUAUUUUUAAAUUCAGGUUUUUAAAAAGCACCUGUUUUAAGGUGGUGGAGGGAGAGAGGAUGUGGUGCGUGGACAGGGCAGAUUAAGAGAAGCAGAGAAGCAGGCCCAUGGGCUCUACCAAGGGCACUGUGUCGUGGAGUGGAGGACCUAGUCUAGAAGGAAAAAAAGCAUCAAGGAGCUUGGAUCGCCAUACUCACAGUUGGCAUGCUUCUAAAUAUGGGGAUAAAAUCCUGCUGAAGAUUCAAUUUUUGUUCAAGAGUAUAAUUUUUUGAAGAAGGAAACUCCAGGGCCUUCUAUGGCGUUGUCUCCCUUCAUUUUUUUUUUAUGAGAAAAUUAAUAUUUAGAUUGAUUGUCCUCCUCACUGCCUUUAGGAUAGAGUCAUUCAUGGAAUGACAGGACUAGCACUGAGUCACUUGGGUAUUGAUAACCCUACACACAAUCACUUUCAGAAUUGCUGUGCCUUUAUGCUUUCAGAAAGUUGGCCUCAUUCUCUGAAGCUCAAGUCCUGUUGAUCAUAAUUGCUUCUGACUUAAAAUUACCUAUAGUCACCAUAAGAUGCCUCCUGGGGACAAAAGAGAAAUAAAUACCGUAAAUAUCUGACAAUAGGUAUUAACAAUAAACCCACUUAAAGAUUAACUGACAUUAGACUAAGACGAAGCUGCAUAUCUAUAUAUGAAUAAAUAUAAAAUGUAAUUAUUGUGCUGGGAUAAUUAUAAUUAAUACUAAAAUAAAAUUUAUGGCCAGUAUACUGAAGUAUAAAUGAUGAAGAGCUGCGAACUUUUAAUCAAGGAAAAAUAGAAUUAGCUGAAUGGUGAGAUGGAUUGUAGUUAUUUCACCACCUGUUCCAAAAGCAAAUUCUACAUGCAAAUAUUUUAAAACCAAAUUGGUGGUGUUUUCUGAAACACGUUGGAAAGUUAUGGCUAUGGGUUGAAGACCGUCUACUGUGCUAGGUGUGUUUGGACAGACAAUACCUCUUAGGCACCUUCUGCAUCUCAGAGGUGCAGGGUACAUUCCAGGUCCUCAAAAUGCACUUUCUGGAUAGUAAGACCCCUAAGUGUGGCCAUGAAUAAUCUCGGUUUUAUUGGCUGAAUUCUAAUAUCAAAAUUACAUUAAAAUUUUAGUGGCUGAGCUGGACCUUAUAGACCAGAAACACUGGCUUCCAAAAUUUGAGAUUUAAUUUCUAAAAUUUUAAGCCAUGCAUGCUCAGAAGAAAGUCUAUAAAAUGUACCCGAAGUUGGAAGUGAACGCCACGUGGGACAUUUAAGUGGAGAAAGAGAUUGUUUUUAAACAAGAUUUAAAAUUCAAGUAACUGGCUAAUUUGGUCUGAAGUCAAUUACAGGUGAUCAAAGAUGGAAGUUUGUUAUUUGGCAGCUUUCAAAUGAAUAGCUUUAGUCAACAAAUACAAUUCGAAAACAUUUUCAUGUGUACGUAUUGAAAGGCAUAAACCUUUGGCUAGUACCAUGUAGCCAUUGAAAUGGCCAUAACAAACGGCACCUUUAAUUUGCCAAGUAAUUUCAGAUUCUUAGUCAAAAAGAAUCUCUCUUGCUUGAACUUUACUUCUCUGGACUGUACAUAUAUCAGAGAUGUGAUCAUUGAAACUCUAAAAGAUUAUUUGUUUCUUUUAGUAGCAUAGCAGAAAAUUAAUGGCGUGGGGGAGGGGGAAGUGACAACUUAAGUUGAUGCUUGAUAGCUGUUUACUUAUAAAUGUGUGUCCAGAUUUCAGUGUCCUGUAAAAGAAAGGGAAAAUAAAGAAACCAAAGCAUUCAUGUGGCUUUUAUGCAACUUAGGACACAUGGAAGAAAGUGCUUAGAAGGCUAGUGAAAUAUUUACUAAACAAAUCAUUUACAUUAAACUUUUGUAUAUGCAAAACCCAGAGCACCUACAAAAAGAGAAACAACUUUAGCCAUAAGGAAUAUUUCGGCAUCAAAAUGGUUAAUAGUAUUAUAGCUUCAAAAGAGCCUAUUGGCUCACCCUCAAGGAUGCCCUGCAGUUGUUGUGAAAGUCAUCAGAUGAAGCUAGCCUUCUCAGCUAGCCUUUAGAUUUGUCUGCUAACAGUAAAAAUACUAUAAUAAAUCGGUAACAUAUGUUGCCAGGCAAGGAAAAGUGAUAUAAAUAAAGAGACUAGGAGACCCAAACCAAGUACAAUGUGAAAAGAAUUUAACUUUCAAUCUAUGCAUUGGCUAAUUAUCAUUUGAAAAGUAAUUUGAAAGUGUUACAGUUAUUUGCUUAUAUUCUUCCUCAUUUUUCUUUUUUUCUCUUCAGAUUGCAUUCUUACCCAAAUACUCUUCGUGAUUGCCUGCUUUGCGGCUUUGGGGUAAGUCCCAGUUUUCCACAACCUUAAAGAAAAAAAAAUGCAUAACAUAAAAGAUGCCAAAAAGACUUAUGUGUCCUGAUGUGCGGGUUUUGUGAAAUAUACAUGGGUUUGUUUUUUUUUGGGGGGGGGUGGCGGGGAACGAUGUUGGUAAUGAAAUAAAGAGAAGGGGUUUGUUUCUGCAAGGAUCAAGAGUGUGUGAAAGUGUGCAUUGCAAACGAGGCUCCCAUCAAGAAAGCCACCUCUGGAAUGGAAAUGACAAAGCUUGGAACACACACAAUCAAUUAUUUUCACUAGCAUUUAAAAUAUAGAAAACAAAAUCUGCUUUGGGAAUUGACUGAAUAUUUUAUUUAGCUUUUUUAUUGAGACAUCCUUUGAAAAAUGGCAUAAUAUAAAUAGUUUUACAAAGCAACAAUAUAAUCAAUCUCUAAACUAGAAUAUAAAUCAAGGAUUUCAUUAACUGCUAGUAGCCAGUUUAAAUUGUAGUCUUGUCCAUAAUGUCUAUCUAUCUAUGUAUGUCCAAGUUAUAUUAAAAACCUUUAAAUGGCUUUGUAAUAUCAGCUACAUCUAGCUAUUAUAAUAAUUAAUGGUACUGUUUUAUAAAUCAAUACAUGUAUUCUUGAUAAAUUCAUAUCCAGUUAAUGGUGUAAUUUAAAUAAAAAAUUAAUGUAAUAAAGGACAUACAGAAACAGGCAGGAAAUCUUUAAAGGUUAAGAGACAAAUUUGUCUAAAUUCAUUUUUAAGCCGUUUUGAAAAAGUUUAUACUUAAAAUCAGCUGAGAUUUACCUUGUUUCUGUAAAACUAAUUUUGCUGUGUCUGUUGGUAUCCAGUAAUGAAUCUGUGCAUUAUUUUCUUUUUUAACUGUUAAGUUUUAAUUACAUACUUAUGAUACUAUGAGAUAUGUUACUACCGUUAUACUCUUUUGCAAUUAUUGAAUAUUCUUUAAAAAAAUAGAACAAAACUAAAAAUCUCAAGCCAGUAAUUUAUUUUUAAUACAUGAAUGAAAUGUAAAUGCUCUCUCUCUAUUUUUUAUAUCUAUAAGCGAACGGUUCUGAGAAUCUCCAAAGCUAUAUACAAAUUUUAUUUAAGGUGAAAAAGGACUGAUUAGCUCAAUAAAUUUGCAUGCGCAAAAGCGCAGCGUUUUUACUGCUUUCACUGAAUGAACAUCCUAGGAAUUUGAGAAAGAAAAGAAAAAUGCUUUGAAGAGUCUGAAAUGUAUUUUAACGCUGCACACGGGUGGAGAAACAUGUUACAAAGAGAAGAGUGUAUUAUUGUUCUGAUUUAAAAAAUACAUACCAAAGGCAUCUUAAGGAAUAACAGGAUCUAGAAAAACAACUGAAUGUUGUAUGUUAUCAAAUACAAUCUUAAAUCUUUCCAAAUAAAAUUUCAUUUGGUUUAUAGAGUAAGCAUUUUACACGAGAUAUCUUUCAGAAUUAUGCAGACCAGUCUGCCCUGCCAUUCUCCGUGACAUGGUGCAGAAAUGUUACUUUAAUCCACUGAGCUUUUUCUGACAUUUUUCUUAACAUUGCUGAGCCUUAUUUAGAGCAGCAAAGGAGAUGUGUGCAGUUUCCUUUGACACUGAUGGGUGUUUCAAAAUGUUACGAGAGAGAGAGAGAGAGAGAGAGAGAGAGAAAGAGACAGAGACAGAGACGGAGAGAGAGCGCGAGAGAGAAAAGAUUUGCUGCCAGUCACUUUAUCAAUAGAGCUACAGGAGCAAUUACUAUUUGUUAAAAGUUUACAUUUCAAAUGAAGCUAAAUUUUAAAGAAGGCUCAUCCUUUUAAAAGCCUGCUGCUUGGAAGAGGGGGGAAGAGAAUGCACGGUAGUGAUCACAUGUUAAAGUGCGCUCAAGUACUGGAACCAUUUAAAAUGUAUUGUGUUUUUAGACGAAGCCUACAGCAAAACCACUCCUAAGAGGCUUAAUUUAGGUUUUAUAGGAGGAACAUAAAAAAGACCAGGUUACAGCAACACGCUGAAAUAUGGGGUACAUUUUAAAUAUCUUCAUUUAAAAACGUAUGUUUAUUUUCCCUCCUGGGAUCACUAACAUGUGUCUCGACAGAGAAAGCAAGGACAUGCUACAUUCUUAAAAAUUAUCUGUUAAAGGGAUCACAUUCCAAGACAGGUUUGAGCAUUUUUAUUACUACCGAUAACCUCUUAAUUAUGUCACUGCCUUCCACUUGUUAAUCAGGGACAUUCAACAUGGUUAACCAGUGAGCGGUUGCCUUUCGUCGACUUCAUUAUUAUUAGGAAUUAAAAACUCAUUCUAUUCCCAUCAUCAUGUUUUUGCAUCUAUGAGUUUAGCACUGCUAGAAACUUACCUGCUUUAAAUACAGAACACCUAAGAAAAGGUCUAGAUGCCCAUAACAAUGUUGUUAAUUACUUCUAGGUGCAGCUCAUGGAAAGCUUUAAGAGAUGGAUAAUUUUACUUUUCCUGUCUUGCCCCCCUCCCCCAACCCCGCUGCCUCCCCCACAUCUCCCACAAUUCCUAUUUGAACCAAUUUUAGGUUCCUUGUGCAGCCACCAGCGCCUGAGAUACUCAGAGACUUUUUUCAGAGAGCACGGUGUAAGUGGAGUAAAUAAAAUCAUGUUUCACUGUUGCUUUAUCAACCCUCCUAGGUAGUUUUCCUGCCAGCCAACCUGCACUGUUAAGACCCAGAAAAUUAUGCAAUAGUGACUUCUUUGAGGUUCUCUAAUCAGAUGAUGGCCAGUGUUAGGAGGGGAAGGGCCCAAGGCAAUGUUGCUGGCACUUAAUGCUGGGCUUGGUCAUUACUUGUCUGGUAGAGACCAAUAAACAGAUGAUUACUAUCCUAUAAGGAGCCAAUAUUUUACAUUUAUCCUAGUUAUAUCUUUUCUUUUCAACGUCUUAUAACAGAAAGUAUUUGUCAAGAUCUAUGAGGAAUAACCUCACAGGCCCCUUAAAAAUAAGAAUUUUCCUAGCGUGAAAUGAUGCUUUUUGUGCAAUGGUGAGAAUGAUUUUGGUUUUUAUAAGAGCAAAGGUUUGAUUACUUUAAAGUAGUUCUCUUUCAGAUGUGGACAGUCCCAGACCCCAUCCCCCACUCUCAUGUCCCCCUCUCUCCUCUAUGACAGGUUCACAGGCUGCAACCAAGGGGUUUUAAAAUGCAAAUAUUUAUAUUGGAGCUCUGGCAAUAACAGAGUCGUUUUGCUUCCUCUGUUAGCCUGUGAUAAUUGAUGCUUCAUACCUGGAACUACGUUUCAUUUAUCUCUUUACACAUGAAGAUAUUACAUAAAUAAAAGAUAAUUUAUGGAAAGGAAACAGCCAUUUGAAAUAAUAAUCCUAAAUUUCAUUGUAUAAUCUUGAAAGGCUUUAAGAGUCAAAGAUGCAGAUUUCUACAGUUUUAAAGAAAACUUGAUCGCACCUGGGAAAUUUGUGCAUUUUUGCACACUUACUGAAUUUGAAUGCCUGCGUGGAUCAAAAACAAAAAAGAGGGAUAAAAGGAAGGCAGGAGAGAAAAGGUGUGGAUUUCACAUGUGCUUUAAACUAAUGCAUUCGCCCACACGUCCACAGACUUCUUGUUACAAUUUUAUUGACUUUUUCUUUAUAUCCGAAAAUAAUUUCUAAAUAGCUAAUGCAAAUUGCAAAAUAGUGAGUCUUCUGAAGGGCCUUCUCUUCCCGGGGAUCCUCAUCUUAGAAUGAACAGAGGUAUUCCCAGAACCGGACCCUGAUCUCACAACCUCAUACAAAGCCAGGCAAUUCUUGAGCCAAACAAACAAAGGGUGUGUAAGCGAUUUCAUUUAUUUUGAUAAUCCUCCUCUUGCACAGGAGCAUCUUGCUGUCUUUGUCAAAGUGAAUGACAACAAUUUGGCUAACUCUCUCUGAGCUGCGCUCAACAGUGACAGGCAAAUUAUCAGAGGCCCUGCACUUCUUAU